This 214-nucleotide long non-coding RNA is filed under the name Bos mutus (wild yak). RNAcentral describes it as "lncRNA (ENSBMUG00000023117.1)". Lineage: Eukaryota; Metazoa; Chordata; Mammalia; Artiodactyla; Bovidae. The record is from RNAcentral.
ACAUAGCCAGUCUCCACCAGUCCUGUAUACUGUUCAAAGAAUGUCAGCCACCUUGGAAAGUGAAAGGAAGGCGGCCGUCAGUCCAGCGGACACAGGAACUUUCCUUCCAAUUAUGGACUGCUUAAGAAUAGUCAACUCACCAACGUGCCUAGUCAGUAAAUGAAUUCACUUGAGAACUUGAAAAUCAUCUUUUUUUUGCAGUUUUGUGUUUCAU